This 457-nucleotide ribosomal RNA is filed under the name uncultured bacterium. RNAcentral describes it as "bacterial SSU rRNA". It matches the Rfam family "Bacterial small subunit ribosomal RNA", at positions 8 to 507 of the family's 1533-position model. The record is from RNAcentral.
AGAGUUUGAUCAUGGCUCAGGAUAAACGCUGGCGGCGUGCCUAACACAUGCAAGUCGAACGAUCCCGCAAGGGAGAGUGGCGGAAGGGUGAGUAACACGUGGGAAUCUACCUCCUCGCAGGGAACAACCUCUCGAAAGAGAGGCUAAUACCCAAAAGGGUCAGAAAUGAUCAGAGUCGAAAGGCGUGAGGAGAGGAGCCCGCGGCCCAUCAGCUAGUUGGUGAGGUAAUGGCUUACCAAGGCUACGACGGGUAGGGGAUCUGAGAGGAUGUCCCCCACACUGGAACUGAAACACGGUCCAGACGCCUACGGGUGGCAGCAGUGAGGAAUAUUGGACAAUGGGCGAAAGCCCGAUCCAGCAACGCCGCGUGGAGGAUGAAGGCCUUCGGGUCGUAAACUUCUUUAGAGGGAGACGAGAAAGGACGGUAUCCCUAGAAUAAGCGACGGCAAACUACGUG